Molecule: ribosomal RNA, 243 nt
Filed under: uncultured bacterium
Lineage: Bacteria
Description: partial 16S ribosomal RNA
Rfam family: Bacterial small subunit ribosomal RNA
Source: RNAcentral
UAGUCCAUGCCGUAAACGGUGGGCGCUAGGUGUGGGGGUUUUCACGACUUCCGUGCCGUAGCUAACGCAUUAAGCGCCCCGCCUGGGGAGUACGGCCGCAAGGCUAAAACUCAAAGGAAUUGACGGGGGCCCGCACAAGCGGCGGAGCAUGUGGAUUAAUUCGAUGCAACGCGAAGAACCUUACCUGGGCUUGACAUAUACGGGAUCGGCGUAGAGAUACGUUUUCCCUUGUGGCUCGUAUAC